AAUGCUGCUGAUGAAACCAUCGUGUAAGGAAUGACCACAAAAGUUGAAUUCCAGUAGCUUCUUAUCAGUUUAAUAUCUGAUAUGUCCUCUAUCCAAAGACAAUAUAUUAAAUGGAUUUUUGGAGUAGAGAGAUGGAAUAGGAGCUUGCUCUGUACUCCACCUGGUAUUGUAGAACUUUUAGGAAUGGUGCACCACUU
This 197-nucleotide small nuclear RNA is filed under the name Propithecus coquereli (Coquerel's sifaka). RNAcentral's name for it is "U2 spliceosomal RNA (ENSPCOG00000008053.1)". The stretch from base 31 to 197 matches the Rfam family "U2 spliceosomal RNA". From Rfam's summary of the family: U2 is a small nuclear RNA (snRNA) component of the spliceosome (involved in pre-mRNA splicing). Lineage: Eukaryota; Metazoa; Chordata; Mammalia; Primates; Indriidae. The record is from Rfam by way of RNAcentral.